Long non-coding RNA from Solanum lycopersicum (tomato), 6596 nucleotides. RefSeq lists it as uncharacterized. The record is from RefSeq and is a predicted model, not a curated record. Lineage: Eukaryota; Viridiplantae; Streptophyta; Magnoliopsida; Solanales; Solanaceae.
UCUUAAACUAGUCUAAAAUAUUAGUUUUUAUAAUAGAACAGAAUGACGACUUUUAUGAGGAAUUUAAUAGGUUCUAACCCUUAAAAUUAACUUAUUUGAAUAUUUUUUAAAUUGUUUAAUUGUUUCAAUUCUUGUAUAUCAUAAAUUGUGGCAUUUAAUGGCAUCAACACUGCUAAACGGCAAAUAGAUUGCAUUAGGAAAAAAGACGGUUAUGUGGCUUACCACGACUGUCCUUCACAAAAAAAACAAAUUAAAUUCUUUGGGAGUGAUAAACGAAUAGUUGGCUUAUGUUCAUUCAAUGUUUUUUAUUAGUCUUCACCCCGUUGUUUGUCCGACUCGAGUAUCCUUCAUUUCUAAGCCAAUUCUAGUUAACCUAGAGUACAGCAAAACCUAAUCCAAAUCUAAGCAAUAGCCUAAGAUUACCCAACACCCAAGUCAUGUAGACCCCAUUAGAGAGACUACCUUAAGUCUAGAACAACCCACGACCUAAAUGCACGUUCAUAUUUAGGUAUAUGUCAUUUGAAAAAUCAUUGUCUUUAGGGUAAGAAGUAGAUUAGCCUACUUUAGUAGAAAAAAGAGUUUCGCAAGCUACUAGUCUAUUUAUGUGUUAUAACUGCUUGUGUGAAUAUGUUGCUUUAUUUGGAAAUAUUCUAGUUCACUAUUCUUCAAAUUAUUUUUUAGAACCGCUAAGCACAAAUGUUAAGUCACUGUCAAAAGUACGUCCAAAUACUCAAAUCGAAAGAGUUCGAUGGGUAGAACUACGUAGGACCUGAAUUCUUUUUUGUGAGAUACGUAGGCAGCCUUUAAGGUUCGAUCCCCAUUUAUUGAGAUAUUUUAUGUUUUCCAACUCUUACAAAGAAAUUAGAGUUACAUCUCAUUCAAAAAAAAAGAAAUACGAUAAUGAAAGAUACAAUCGACUUGUCUCGACUCAAGUCUACAUUUCCGUUCACUAGGCUAAAAUUCAAAGAGAUAAAUUCAUGUCUAUUUAGUCAUUUCUCUAUAUAUGUGGGCUAGUUUAUAUUCAGAUGAAGCAAUUGUUACGUGUUUAUAGUAACGUGUGUGAUAUUUUGUAUUAUUUAUCAUCAACCUAGACUAACACAUUUGACUUUGAAUUGUUAUUCUCUGUCAAGUACUCAAAACUGAUUUAUGUUGAAAAAAUGGAUGAACAUCCAUACUUUAGAAGGUUCAAAGACCCCAAAGAUUCCUUAUCUGAAAAAUAUUUGUCAAAAGGAAAGAGAAAAUGGUUUAAAAUGUCGAGAAUAUUGAUUUGACUAAAAUCACUGUAAAUGACCCUAUCGUUGCUAAACAGAACAAGUUGAUUGCACAAUUAUUCAAACAGAUUGCUAAAAUGAGGGAUAAAAUGGAUAAGACUCGAGAUUGACGAAUUUGGCUAUCAUUGCCAAAUACUCCUGCUCAAGAAAACGAAAGGCCAUCAACCCAAUUCCUACUUCAGAUCCAAAAUCCAAACAUUUUCCAAAUAAUUCAACCACCGAUACCAUUUCAAAACCUCUCAUCAUUGACUUAACCGCCCCUAAUCAAAAUACCAACAUUCUCUAGAAUUUUCUUCAUGUCCAUCAAACCCCUACUCGAAUUGUCUAAAACCCACCUACCACUCAACCCAUACCUCUAAAACCUGCAUUUCACCUUCCAAUAUCAUUAGAAUCAAUACCUUUCAUCUGCUACACAUUUUGAAUUCAACUUUUAUUAGAAUAAGUAGGAGUGGAAGGUCAUGAAAAGAAAGGCUAAGCAAAGCAUCAGAGAGGAAAUUAUAAAUGCAAUAAAGGACUUUCAAUACACCCCAAACAUUAUGGGGUUGAUUUACGAAGAUUUGUGUCUCUAUCCACACUUGGAACUUCUAAAAAAUUUAAAGUAUCAUAAUUUGACACUUUUAGUGGAGUCGAAAAUCCUUUGACUCAUUUGAGGGAUUAUUGUGAUCAACUUAUUGGAGUAGGGAAAGAUGAAGCUUUGUUAAUGUGACUCUUUAGUCGAACUCUUAAAGGGGAAGCUUUGAAAUGGUUUAUUUAAAAAGAAAUCAAGCAGUGGGCAAGUUGGAAUACUUUGGAUAAAGACAUGAUCGAAAGACUUUGUCACAUUGUAGAGUUCAUCCCAGAUCAAUACUCUUUGGAGAGAAUCAAACAGAAUUCUAUGAAAGCUAUCGAGAGUAUGCCUACCAUUAGAGAAGAGAGGUUGCAAGGGUUAGUCCUCCUAUGACCAAGAAAGAGAUUAUUUAAGUCUUUGUGCGCACUGAAGAUGCGGAGUAUUACAGUAGGAUGAUGCUCAUUUUAGGAGGCAAGUUCUGUGAGAUAGUCAAAACUGGUGAAGCUAUUGAAGACGGUCUCAAGACCGGGAAAAUCAUUUGAAUGGCUCCCCAAGAUGAAUCCUCGGUACCAUUGAGGAGGAACAGGGAUGAUGUUUCCUCUAUCUCAUUUGAAUCAAGCCACAAAUUAAAGAGCCAUGCCGAUCUUAAUGUUCGAAAGCCUUUACCAUCCGAAAUCUACCAUUUAGCUCCACAAAUUUUUUGCCCCAUCCCACCAAAUUACGAAGCGCCAUUGCCAAAUCACCCAAACGGUCAAUCAAGUCACCAGGCUCCAUUGCCAAAUUAAUCAAAUGAACCUCAAAGCUAUCAAGCCCCACAGUACAAAAAUUUCCAAACACCAGCACCUACUCGCCGAAAUCCUCCCAGUUAGCGCCAAGAACCUCCGUUUUUAUACAAAAUAAUUACAAUAUUUCUUGUCAGGUAUUUUUGAAGAAACCUUCUCGAGUCUUUACUCCUUUGGUUUAAAGUCAAACCCAACUCUUUGAGAGAUUGAAAAAGGGCUUGUCUAAUACAAACAAUUGAUCAAAAAAAUAUAAAUGUCAAUUACAGACUUUGUAGGCCCAAUCUUCAUUGUGCUUACCAUUCAGGGGGUGUUGGACAUACCACAUAGGAUUGCAUAAAAUUGAAGCAUAGAAUUCAAGACUUAAUUGAUCAAAGAAUUGUCACUCUUCAAAAUAAAAAUUGUAAUGCCAAUGGUAAUUCCCUGAUGAAUCGUAGAGGAUUCACUAUUAACAUGAUUGUCCCAAAGUAUCAAGAACCUCCACGUCAAAAUGCCCCAAAUUAUCGUUAAAUGCCUUUCCCUCAACAAGACAAUUACAAUCCUCUUCCAUGUCUUAAGAAGAAACCUUCUGAAAAAUUUACUCCUCUCAUUGAAUGUCGAAUGCAGUUGUUUGAGCAAUUGACAAUGGCAGGCCUUAUGCAUCCACGUUGACCCAAACCGGUUGACAUUAGAUCAAGGUUUUAUAGAAUGGAUCAAGGGUGCGCAUAUCAUUCCAAUUGUUUUGGACGUGAUACUGAAGAUUGUAUUAACUUGAAGCACAAUAUCCAGGACAUGAUGGCUCAGAAUGUGGUCAGGACCAUUGCACCCAACAUCUAUAGUAAUCCUCGAUUGAACUAUAGAGGCACCAAUAUCAAUAUGAUAAAUUUGGAGAAUGAGUGGUGCAUGGUAAAGGCUAUAGUUCCAAAUGGUCCUGACAACCUUGAGAAAACGGUAGCUUCUCCGAGCAUAAGUGAGAAACUCAAUUUUUCGAGCUUGAAAUUCCAUCGAACUUUUGCUUUUGUGUUAAGAUACGAUCAGAACAAGAAGGGGAUUAAUCAUGCUCCACCAAACUCUUUGCCUCAUUUAUGUCAGUCCCUUGUGGUAGAGGAUUAUGGAAAUGAUGAAGGUCUUGGAGAAGGAAUUGGGAAUCUUUUAAAAGAAGAUGAAGAUGCACCCAAUAAGAUGAUUGAAACACCAGACAUACAAGAUGUCGAGCCAAUGGAGCAUAUUCUUAAUUGAACUUCCACUAUGCUCUUUAUAUCUCGCUCAAUUUGAUAGACAAAAGAUGAAUUUUAUGUUGUUUUCAAAAUUGGUGGUAGUUUGAAUGAGGCUAGGGACCCACUUUUUGUGUCAGUUUACCUAAUUAUGUUUUCAUUUCCCUCGUAAUGUUUUCAAAAAAGGAAAAAUAGCCCAUGGUCAUGGCCAAUGUUUGUAUUUCCUUACUUUCAAUGAAAGUCUCUCCUAUUGUGAAAAAUUAAUUUACUUUCUUUAAUUAUGUUAUCUAACAAUCAUUAUUUUUCUUUCACUAAAAAAAUAUAUUUUAAACAUGUCAAUAUCAUGUCACAAAUAGAAUUAACAAAAUGAGAUAGAUGAACAUCAUAUUGAAGAGUAUGACGAGGAAGAUCAUGAUAUUCAAACACCUUCUCAAAAUAUUUGAAACAGUUUGAGACUCUGGAUAAAUCAAAUUCAAAUGAGGAAAAAACUAAAGAUUUUGGAAAGAAUGAUUGAGUCAAAGAAACCAGAAUCAAAUGUAAGCUCAUAAAAGAGAACUCAUCAGCUUAUGUUCUGUAGUUAGAAAAUUAUUUCUUCUAAUGAACUAUAUCUCAUGUGAAUUCUCAAGAACGAGAUAUGUAAGCAGCCUAUAUCGGCCUCGGUCACCCCUUUAAUCCCUUCUAAUAUUUAUUAGUACUUGAACUAUGUUCAACCUGAAUUCUUAAGAAUGAGAUAUGUAGGUGUUUUAUGUCGGCCUUAGUUGGUUUCUUUGUAUAUUUCUUUUUGUUGUUAACCUCGAGAGGGGAACUACGCUUGACCUGAUUCCUGCCUCAACGGGAUUCAUAGGCGCCAGAAUGGUUUUGUCAUAUCUCCCAUAAGACUUCUAUUUCUCUUUAGAAUAGAAAUUGGGAGAGAAAUUUUGAGAGGAAAGAGGAAAAUCUCUCCAAAAAAAUCGAGACUGAAGUUACUUUGAGAUUUGCAACUAGGACAUAAUUUUGUAGAUGAUCUAAAAAAUUCAAUGAUUUGCUUAUUAACAGUUAAAGUUACGUUAAGACAGUUAACCGGGACAUAAAUUUUGAGGAUUGCCUCAAAAAAUUUCAACAAAAUUUAUCGGCAGUUUAGAGCAACUUUGAAUAAUUCCCAUCAAAUAAUCAGAUAGACUUCGAGACAUCAACUUCAAUUACAUUCGCUAAAGCUUGAUGUGGCAUGAUACUUGGCAUCUAUCCUUUUUGAGAACCUUUUUUGUAAAAAUAAAAAUUUUCUAUAUGUUUCAAAUAUUUUCUAUCAAGAAGCGAGAAAUCAGAGCGAUCAAAUAAAGAUAGCAAGACGAUGAGCAAGUGAUUGAAAAACUCAACAUACAUUAGUUUGUUUUAAAAACUAACAAUUUUUUAGUGGAUGCAGGUCCAUAAGUUUUCUAAUGAUCAUCCUAUUCCUUUGUUCAAUGUAGUUGGAGAAGUCAAAAGGACGAGGAUGUCCCUUAGAUUGGAAAUUUUUCUAUCGAUGUAGGAAAGUCAUUGAAGUUUUUUUUUAAAAAAAAUUGUUCAGUAUAAGAGCAAUAAUACUGCAUUCAAAUUUCCAGCAAUGUAUGAGUCACAAUGAGUAUAAAUGUUCAAAUAUGAACAAGUGAAAGAAUCACUCUCAACAUGCUCAAGCAUAUACAAUCACAUCAAAUUAUAUUUUUUCAGCAUCAAGAACAUUUGAAGAAUAUUCAUAAAUCAUGUCGAUAUCAGAUGUUGUAAUGUGAAACCCCUAGAGGUACAUAUCCACAUAUUAUAAUAUGAGAUAAUACCACUAUCCAAAGGGACAUAUUUGUAGUAUUAUGAAAUGAGAUCAUCGUCAUUCUAUCAAUGGACAUCAACAUCAUCCUGCCAAUGGAUCCAUAUCAUCAUCAUCCUAUCAAUAGAUCAAAAACAUCCUAUCAAUGGAUGGAUCGAAAUCAUCAUCAUCCUAUCAAUCGAUCAAUAUUAUCCUACCAAUGGAUCAUCAAAGAAACAUCAUCAUCCUAUCGUUGGAGCACUAACACCCCAAUGGAUAAACAUCAGCAUCAUCCUAUCAAUGAAUCAAUAACAUUCUAUGAAUGGAGCAUCAACAUCAUCCUUCCAAUGGAUCAACAUAAUCCUACCAAUGGAUCAUCAAUCAACGAAGAAUCGUUGUCCUAUCAAUGCAAAAUCAACAUGAUCCUAUCAAUGGAUCAUCAACGAAGAAUAAUCGUCCUAUGAAUAGAGCAUCAAAUUUGUCUUACAAAUGGGGCAUCAUCAUUCUAUUAUUUAGCAGCAUUAUCCUAUCAAUGGAUGAUCAUCAUCCUACCAAUGGUUCAUCAUCUUUCUAUCGAUAAAGCAUUUUCAUCCACGUCAUAUCAAGUCAUCAUCUACUGCAUCAAAAUUGAUGGAGGCUGACGUCAAAACAUUUAUCCAAAAAAACAUUUGUUGAAUACGACGACAUUAGAAAAGAUGCAGCACAAUGUGAAUUUUUUCUUAACGCAAGAUGAGAAUCGAAAAUUAUCGAUCCAUCCACCUCUUUGACGUAGUAUAUUCAUCGAGUCACCCACCUUGUUACAGUAAAAUAGUCAUCAAGUCAUCAAUCUCAUUAUAGUUGGAUAAUAAUCGAGCCAGCUAGCUCAUUGCAGAGAUCACCGAAGUUUGCCCUGCAAUAAAUAACCUAUAUAUCUCCAAAUCCUCAGCAAAUCAUGAGUUGUAAUAAACAUAUUGUGUUUGAAAGAGGUAUCCAUUUAUCUUCCACUCCCAAUACUUUUUUAUUUUCUCAAAUAGUUGAAAAAUGUUUAUGAUUAUCCAUUAAGAUAUUCUCAUU